RNAcentral lists this ribosomal RNA (316 nucleotides) under uncultured bacterium. Its description in RNAcentral is "bacterial SSU rRNA". It matches the Rfam family "Bacterial small subunit ribosomal RNA", at positions 28 to 334 of the family's 1533-position model. The record is from RNAcentral.
GACGAACGCUGGCGGCGUGCCUAAUACAUGCAAGUCGGGCGGGGUUUUGAGAGCUUGCUCUUGAAACCCAGCGGCGAACGGGUGAGUAACACGUGGGUAACCUGCCCGCAAGACCGGGAUAACUUCGGGAAACCGGAGCUAAUACCGGAUAGGACUUCGGGUCGCAUGAUCCGGGGUGGAAAGGUGGCGCAAGCUGCCACUUGCGGAUGGGCCCGCGGCGCAUUAGCUAGUUGGUGAGGUAACGGCUCACCAAGGUGACGAUGCGUAGCCGACCUGAGAGGGUGACCGGCCACACUGGGACUGAGACACGGCCCAG